This 376-nucleotide ribosomal RNA is filed under the name uncultured bacterium. Its description in RNAcentral is "bacterial SSU rRNA". It matches the Rfam family "Bacterial small subunit ribosomal RNA", at positions 30 to 406 of the family's 1533-position model. The record is from RNAcentral.
AUUGAACGCUGGCGGCAGGCCUAACACAUGCAAGUCGAGCGGUAGAGAGGUGCUUGCAUCUCUUGAGAGCGGCGGACGGGUGAGUAAUGCCUAGGAAUCUGCCUAGUGGUGGGGGAUAACGUUCGGAAACGGACGCUAAUACCGCAUACGUCCUACGGGAGAAAGCGGGGGAUCUUCGGACCUCGCGCCAUUAGAUGAGCCUAGGUCGGAUUAGCUAGUUGGUGAGGUAAUGGCUCACCAAGGCGACGAUCCGUAACUGGUCUGAGAGGAUGAUCAGUCACACUGGAACUGAGACACGGUCCAGACUCCUACGGGAGGCAGCAGUGGGGAAUAUUGGACAAUGGGCGAAAGCCCUGAUCAGCCAUGCCGCGUGUGU